UUUCCAUAGGUGAACCUGCGGAAGGAUCAUUGUCGUGACCCUGACCAAAAUAGAACAUGCAUGACAGACCGCGCACGCGUCAUCCAAUCCACCGGCGAUGGCACCGUCCGUCGUUCGGCCAAGUCCUUGACCACCUCCCCUCCUCGGAGUGGGGGCUCAGGGCAAAAGAACCCACUGCGCCGAAGGCGUCAAGGAACACUAUGCCUAACCCAGGGGCAUGGCUAGUUUCCUAGUCCUCCCCCGUGUUGCAAUGCUAUUUAAUCCACAUGACUCUCAGCAAUGUAUAUCUCAGCUCUC
This 297-nucleotide unclassified non-coding RNA is filed under the name root metagenome. Its description in RNAcentral is "partial contains small subunit ribosomal RNA, internal transcribed spacer 1, and 5.8S ribosomal RNA". The record is from RNAcentral.